UUUAGUCUGCUGGGCGAACAUCGUACAUCCGAUUGCUUAGAAAAGUCAUAGCACACCUCUCCUCACUUAGCUGGUCGAUUUGACACCUCAUUCAUGGGUCUACGACAAAAGGUGCGGGACAAGUAGCGUGCCGAAGUUUUGUCCAGGUGAAUAGUAAUUAUAAUACUAGAAUGUACAUUUCCUGAAGAAAAUGUGAAUGGUGCUUGCAGUGGCAAAACUCGGCACUCGGUUGCUAGGGUGUUUCUAGGCAAUUGCUAAGGUGUUCUGGGUGGUUGCUAGUCGGUUGCUAUGGUAACCUGGGUGGUUGCUAGGGUGUUGCUAGGCAGUUGCUAAGGUACUUGGGGUGGUUGCUAAGGUGUUGCUAGGCGGUUGCUAGGGUGUUCUGGGUGGUUGCUAGGCGGUUGCUAUGGUAACCUGGGUGGUUGCUAGGGUGUUGCUAGGCAGUUGCUAAGGUACUUGGGGCAGUUGCUACGGUGUUGCUAGGCGGUUGCUAGGGUGUUCUGGGUGGUUGCUAGGCGGUUGCUAUGGUAACCUGGGUGGUUGCUAGGGUGUUGCUAGGCAGUUGGUGUUUUUAUAGAGUUCUUAGCAUGUUCUUAGCCCACUUUAGCACUUAGCUAAUCACUAUUAGCAUGUAGCUAUUCACUGCUAGCAUGUGUAGCAUGUUGGAAGUCCAGUUUGCUAGCAUGAGGCAAAAAGAGCCAACCGCCAUGUCUCUGCGAUGCUCUGUUGCAGAGAAAUAGGCCUUGCAAAACGGUUGCUAGGGUACUCUAUUUGGUUGCUAGGGAGUGGCUUGGCAGCUGCCAAUGAUGAUACUUCAAAGGCUGCUUGCCAAUAUAAACCAACCCCCAUGUCUCUACGAUGUUCUGAUACAGAGAAAUAGGCCUUGCAAAAUGGUUGCUAGGGUACUCUAUUUGGUUGCUAGGGAGUGGCUUAGCAGCUGAGAGUGAUGAUACUCCAAAGCUGCUUGCUAGUAUGAAUGAUAUAAACCAACCCCCAUGCCUCUAUGAUAUUCAGAUUUGAAGAUAUCCCUCUAUGCUUUGGGUUGCUAGGGUGCUCUAAAUGGUUGCUAGGGCGUGGCUAUGAAGUCUUGAAGGUGAUUCGUGAUUGGCCGUUUGCUGUCCCGAGUCAAAUGAGCCCACCCUCAUGUUCCUAUGACACUUCUAUCCAAAGGAAUAUCUUUGAUCUUUUUGAAUGGAAGUCUAUGGAACUUGUUGCUAUGGUGCUCUAUAUGGUUGCUAGGGCGUGGCUUGAUAGCUUCACAAUGAUCCUGAGAGACUGAUUGGUUGCCUCAGUAAAAUGAGCCCACCCCCUUGUCUCUAUGACACUGUGAUCCAGAGUUAUGUUCAAUACAA
Ctenopharyngodon idella (grass carp) is the source of this 1352-nucleotide long non-coding RNA. RefSeq lists it as uncharacterized. The transcript is spliced from 3 exons. The record is from RefSeq and is a predicted model, not a curated record. Lineage: Eukaryota; Metazoa; Chordata; Actinopteri; Cypriniformes; Xenocyprididae.